This 1026-nucleotide long non-coding RNA is filed under the name Oryctolagus cuniculus (rabbit). RNAcentral's name for it is "lncRNA (ENSOCUG00000039040.1)". The record is from RNAcentral. Lineage: Eukaryota; Metazoa; Chordata; Mammalia; Lagomorpha; Leporidae.
AUGAAGGUUCUAGAACCUUCCACGAAAUGUGCCGGGUCAGGUAUGAGUCACCUGUGGAGGACGCCAAGCCCAGGGGCUACCUGCACCUCUGCAGAGUCCAAGAGGCUCAGAGACACUGCCUGGACCUGCGUGGGGCGCCUGGGAGCCGUGCCCACCCGCUGCACCUGCCGGGCUCGCCUGCCUCCCCGGCCACAGCUGUCUGAGCCCUGCAGCUGGGCCACAGCCCGCCCACCGCUGGGCCUUUGCACGUGCCGGCCUCCUGCCAGGACACUUCUCCGGCCUGUGCCGGCUGACACCACGGCCUCCUGCAGGCCUCAGCUCAGGGGCAGCGCCUCCAGGAAGCCCUCGGCGCUUCCCGGCCCGGGCAGAACCACAGCACAGCAGGGCACGAGGGCGCUCCCAGGCAGCCACGAGCCCACGCGUCGGCAGAUCCCGGCUGCUCCCGGCACGGACAAGAGGCAGAUCCGGAUUUGCAGCCUGGCUCUCCACGUGGCCUGCGGCAGGAGGCCGCCCCCCCCGCCCCACCGAGACUCAGCUUCUUACCCUGUAAAAUGGGACUCACAACAGCGCCCCCCACUCCCCUCCCGCUAAGUCGUGGGAAGAUGCCACGGGAGCCGUCCAGAUCCCCCGUGGCGAUGUGGGCCGGGUGCCCAGGGCAGGCACCACAGCUGCCCGAUGUCCUGGUGACCACGCCCACAGCCCCGCCCUGCGCGGCGGCCAGGAGCCCAGGUCUCAGAAGAGACUCAGAGAGGCCACGUGAUUUGCCCAAGGUCACGCAGCUGGGAGGCAGCCGAGCCCAAGCGAGGGCCUGGCGACUGGGAGACCCCACUGAGCCGCGGAAGCCGAGGGCCGGGGGCUGAGUCCAGGCCACUCCUCCUAGGAACGCCCUCCUGCUCUACACAGGUGCACACGGAGCCGCCCCCGGGGACAGCCCGGGAGAACUCCGCUCUAGGAGAAUCAAGGCAAAAGCCGUCCUAGCUGUCUGGCUGCGGGGUGGCUCGGGAGGACCUCGACUACAGUCCAGCA